RNAcentral lists this ribosomal RNA (460 nucleotides) under uncultured Methylomirabilota bacterium. Its description in RNAcentral is "bacterial SSU rRNA". It matches the Rfam family "Bacterial small subunit ribosomal RNA", at positions 977 to 1434 of the family's 1533-position model. The record is from RNAcentral. Lineage: Bacteria; Methylomirabilota (SeqCode).
GGGCUUGACAUCCCACGAACCUGCCUGAAAGGGCGGGGUGCCCGCAAGGGAGCGUGGAGACAGGUGGUGCAUGGCUGUCGUCAGCUCGUGUCGUGAGAUGUUGGGUUAAGUCCCGCAACGAGCGCAACCCUUACCCCUAGUUGCCACCGGGUAACGCCGAGCACUCGAGGGGAACUGCCAGCGUCAAGCUGGAGGAAGGCGGGGAUGACGUCAAGUCAUCAUGCCCCUUACGCCCUGGGCUACACACGUGCUACAAUGGUUAGUACAAAGGGAUGCGAGACCGCGAGGUGGAGCCAAUCCCAAAAAGCUGGCCUAAGUUCAGAUUGCAGUCUGCAACUCGACUGCAUGAAGGAGGAAUCGCUAGUAAUCGCGCAUCAGCACGGCGCGGUGAAUACGUUCCCGGGCCUUGUACACACCGCCCGUCACACCACGAAAGCUGGCUGUACUCGAAGUCGCUGAG